Molecule: ribosomal RNA, 394 nt
Filed under: Leptocylindrus sp.
Lineage: Eukaryota; Bacillariophyta; Leptocylindrophyceae; Leptocylindrales; Leptocylindraceae
Description: partial small subunit ribosomal RNA
Rfam family: Eukaryotic small subunit ribosomal RNA
Source: RNAcentral
UUCCAGCUCCAAUAGCGUAUAUUAAAGUUGUUGCAGUUAAAAAGCUCGUAGUUGGAUUUCUGGUGCAUUCCACUGGCCUAUUGGUUAACUCCAACUUGGCUCAUUUGGAAUACGCCAUCUUUAGGCAGACCCGUCGUGGCAUUAGGUUGUCGUGAUGGUUACGCCUAUCGUUUACUGUGAAGAAAUUAGGGUGUUCAAAGCAGGCUUAUGCCAUGAAUACGUUAGCAUGGAAUAAUGAGAUAGGAUUUCGGUACUAUUUUGUUGGUUUGUGUACGGAAAUAAUGAUUAACAGGAACAGUGUUGUGGGUAUUCGUAUUUCGUUGUCAGAGGUGAAAUUCUUGGAUUUACGAAAGACGAACGACUGCGAAAGCAUUUACCAAGGAUGUUUUCAUCG